This 451-nucleotide ribosomal RNA is filed under the name uncultured bacterium. RNAcentral's name for it is "partial 16S ribosomal RNA". It matches the Rfam family "Bacterial small subunit ribosomal RNA", at positions 354 to 796 of the family's 1533-position model. The record is from RNAcentral.
GUGGGGAAUAUUGGACAAUGGGGGGAACCCUGAUCCAGCCAUGCCGCGUGUGUGAAGAAGGCCUUUUGGUUGUAAAGCACUUUAAGCGAGGAGGAGGCUACCGAGAUUAAUACUCUUGGAUAGUGGACGUUACUCGCAGAAUAAGCACCGGCUAACUCUGUGCCAGCAGCCGCGGUAAUACAGAGGGUGCAAGCGUUAAUCGGAUUUACUGGGCGUAAAGCGCGCGUAGGUGGCCAAUUAAGUCAAAUGUGAAAUCCCCGAGCUUAACUUGGGAAUUGCAUUCGAUACUGGUUGGCUAGAGUAUAGGAGAGGAUGGUAGAAUUCCAGGUGUAGCGGUGAAAUGCGUAGAGAUCUGGAGGAAUACCGAUGGCGAAGGCAGCCAUCUGGCCUAAUACUGACACUGAGGUGCGAAAGCAUGGGGAGCAAACAGGAUUAGAUACCCGAGUAGUCC